CCUACGGGGGGCAGCAGUGGGGGAUAUUGCACAAUGGGGGAAACCCUGAUGCAGCGACGCCGCGUGGGUGAAGAAGCGCCUCGGCGCGUACAGCCCUGUCAGCAGGGAAGAAAAUGACGGUACCUGAAGAAGAAGCCCCGGCUAAUUACGUGCCAGCAGCCGCGGUAAUACGUAGGGGGCAAGCGUUAUCCGGAUUUACUGGGUGUAAAGGGGGCGCAGACGGCGAUGCAAGCCAGGAGUGAAAGCCCGGGGCCCAACCCCGGGACUGCUCUUGGAACUGCGUGGCUAGAGUGCAGGAGGGGCAGGCGGAAGUCCUGGUGUAGCGGUGAAAUGCGUAGAUAUCAGGAGGAACACCGGUGGCGAAGGCGGCCUGCUGGACUGCAACUGACGUUGAGGCCCGAAAGCGUGGGGAGCAAACAGGAUUAGAUACCCGGGUAGUC
Molecule: ribosomal RNA, 440 nt
Filed under: uncultured bacterium
Lineage: Bacteria
Description: partial 16S ribosomal RNA
Rfam family: Bacterial small subunit ribosomal RNA
Source: RNAcentral